Molecule: ribosomal RNA, 429 nt
Filed under: bacterium
Lineage: Bacteria
Description: partial 16S ribosomal RNA
Rfam family: Bacterial small subunit ribosomal RNA
Source: RNAcentral
UGGGGAAUUUUGGACAAUGGGCGCAAGCCUGAUCCAGCCAUGCCGCGUGCGGGAAGAAGGCCUUCGGGUUGUAAACCGCUUUUGUCAGGGAAGAAAAGACUCCGGAUAAUACCUGGGGUUCAUGACGGUACCUGAAGAAUAAGCACCGGCUAACUACGUGCCAGCAGCCGCGGUAAUACGUAGGGUGCAAGCGUUAAUCGGAAUUACUGGGCGUAAAGCGUGCGCAGGCGGUUAUGCAAGACAGAUGUGAAAUCCCCGGGCUCAACCUGGGAACUGCAUGUGUGACUGCAUAGCUAGAGUACGGUAGAGGGGGAUGGAAUUCCGCGUGUAGCAGUGAAAUGCGUAGAUAUGCGGAGGAACACCGAUGGCGAAGGCAAUCCCCUGGACCUGUACUGACGCUCAUGCACGAAAGCGUGGGGAGCAAACAGG